RNAcentral lists this long non-coding RNA (1170 nucleotides) under Callithrix jacchus (white-tufted-ear marmoset). RNAcentral's name for it is "lncRNA (ENSCJAG00000080543.1)". The record is from RNAcentral. Lineage: Eukaryota; Metazoa; Chordata; Mammalia; Primates; Cebidae.
AGGGACUAAUAUGUCCAGGUAGUAUGCCAUGGACCUUGGGUGAGACUGUUGAGAUGUGUUGACUUCAGGUGAGAGCCAGAAUAUUCCCAGAUGUGGUGGCUAUGGUGAGAGACUUCUUUUGCUGGAGAAAAGUAAAGGGAAAAGAAAAGGGACAUUGUCUUGCACCUAAGGGACCAGCUUGGACAGAGUGGUGUAGAGCACUAAGCAGACUCUUGGUGUCCCUGAUUGCAGGCCUUGGGUAUUGGAGAGCAUUUCUGAACUGGCCCUGAGCCCAAAGGGAGCCUACUGCCUUGAAGGGCUAAGAAGGAAGUUACAGUGUUGGCUGGGGUGACUGACUCAGACUAUCAAGAUGAAAUCAGACUACUACUCCACAAUGGAGAGGAAUUAUAAAGAUCAAGAUGAAUUCAGUGAAUCUUCCCAUAGGACUGUUCAAAGAUCUUCAGGGAGUGAGAAUGUUAACACCUGCUGGAAGGAUUGGUGGUAACUUAAUGGAGACAUCCCCGUUGUUGGCAGCUUUCUUCUCUACCUGGAUCCAACAGUCUCUGCUGCUUCUCUUGCUUUGCCUCUUGUCUAUGCUUGUGGUCAAGCUUAAGCAGGUAAGUAGCUGUUUAGUGGUCCAAAACUGGGUGAACUGGUUAAUUUUGUGAAAUAUUUUCAACUUCUUAUAGGAGAUAGGCUUUUGCUGUGGCAGCUGGAUGUACCAGGACUAUUUGGCAAGGUGGAUGAGCUCCCUUUUGGACUAGAUAUGCUGUCCAAUGCCCAAAUUAUUGGGCCUUUUCUCAAACAGGAGAUUUACCACCUUUUUGGUCUCCUGUUUCUUCACAACAGCAGGGGCCUGUACACACCUUCUUUUUCUUGGUCUUUCUUUUCAAUUCUCAGGUGGCCUACUGGAGGAGAGAGGCUUUUUUCCUUUUUUUAUAAAGAUGUUUUAUCUUGACAUCUUGUUUUUAUUUUGGUGACUCAUUCAAGCAUUCAUUCAACACAUUUAUCAAGUAAACACUAUGUUGCUAAGUGCCAUUUUAACACUAUAUUAUGAGGUAAACGGAACAAGCAAGGGCUUUGCCUUUACCAAGUUUCAAAUCUGAAAAGGAUACCUUAGUGUUAGUUACAUCAUAAAAUUUACAUAUAACUGCAAUUCUAAUGUUCACUAUUAUCAAACUCAUACCUAAA